GACGAACGCUGGCGGCGUGCUUAACACAUGCAAGUCGAACGGUGAACUCCGCUUGCGGGGGGAUCAGUGGCGAACGGGUGAGUAAAACGUGGGCAACCUGCCCUCAGCUCUGGGAUAACUCCAAGAAAUUGGGGCUAAUACCGGAUAUGACCGCUGACCGCAUGGUCUGGUGGUGGAAAGAUUUAUCGGCUGGGGAUGGGCCCGCGGCCUAUCAGCUUGUUGGUGGGGUAGUGGCCUACCAAGGCGACGACGGGUAGCCGGCCUGAGAGGGUGACCGGCCACACUGGGACUGAGACACGGCCCAGACUCCUACGGGAGGCAGCAGUGGGGAAUAUUGCGCAAUGGGCGAAAGCCUGACGCAGCGACGCCGCGUGGGGGAUGACGGCCUUCGGGUUGUAAACCUCUUUCAGCAGGGACGAAGCGAAAGUGACGGUACCUGCAGAAGAAGCACCGGCCAACUACGUG
This 465-nucleotide ribosomal RNA is filed under the name uncultured bacterium. RNAcentral describes it as "partial 16S ribosomal RNA". It matches the Rfam family "Bacterial small subunit ribosomal RNA", at positions 28 to 507 of the family's 1533-position model. The record is from RNAcentral.